Molecule: transfer RNA, 47 nt
Filed under: Didesmococcus koreanus
Lineage: Eukaryota; Metazoa; Arthropoda; Insecta; Hemiptera; Coccidae
Description: tRNA-Ser
Source: RNAcentral
UAGUUAAAAAUAUUUACCUUGAAAGUAUUAAAAACAAAUUUAACUUU